CUCCGUCAGCCGCGGUAGGCGGCCGGGCGAGUGUCGCGUCGCGGUGCCGGGGCUGCCGCGCGCCGCGUCCUAGAACCGGUUCACUUUUCCGCGAUCGAUCGCGCGCCUGUUGCCCAUUCGAACUGCAUCCGUCGUCGUCGCGCGCGCACCGCGCACCGCAAUAAACCGUCCAGCAUCGUCGCCGCUUACUUGCGAGUCUGUCGUUGCACGUCUCCAGAGACGUAUACAACUUACUGUUUGUACACGUUUUACUUGUUGAAUAAAUUGUUGUAAUUAAAACGAAAAAAUAACAAAAUCACCGCAACCGACGCGACUUGUUUACACAGCGCGUCGUCCGAAACGCGACACGAGCCGCACAAACCGAUCCAGACGCACGCACGCACGAACGCGUACGUCUCGGCAAUAUUCCAUUCAGGCCCCCCGGCCCCCACCAGUCACCGACCGACUCAUCAACCGUAAUAAUAAUAAUAUUACAUCGCAUAACUUUGUCGCGCCCGAUUGUCACGCCGCGCCGACCGACGCGUACCACCGGUUGCGGCCGUCGUCCAACAGCGGUGGCCGGCGCCUGCGCAGUGCACAACAAUUAAAACAAAAAAAAUCCACCAUCGAUAUUCCGACUGUCAUCUUAUGAUAUUGUCUUACGUUUAUUUAUAGCGUACAUUGUCGGGUCGUUAUUUUGUUUCGUAAAAAAAUUUGUACAAGUAUAUCGUUGUUAUUAUUAUUUUGUAUAAUAAUUGUUGAUCUUCGCGUCCGUCCGAUUUUUCGUUUUCCUCCUCUCUGCGCCGCUCCGCACCGUUCAUAGUACGGCCGCGGCGUACUUCGUGCUCUCCCGACUCUCUCGGUUCGCCGACGACUGCACCGCAGCGGCAUUCACGCACCGCACGUUCGCACACUACGCACACACCACCACUGACCGUACCGCGGGCGCAGCGUGACGUGUUUUUAUCGAAAGUUUUCACCCAUUAAACCGCCAGCGUUUGAUUAUAAUAGUAAUAAUAAUAUGUACGAUAAUAGUAAAAACGAUAACUGAGUAUUAUUAUUAUUAUUUAUUUGUUUUUUUUUUUAAUACGCGUUUUUCUGCCUUAUCUCCUCCCGCGUUGUUCAACCGGCGUUAUCUGCACCGCGGGACGAUACCACAGCCGCGACAUGCCGGCCAGCAAUAAUAAUGCCACUUACUUGAGAGCUUUUGGCUUAUCGGCCGUAGCAGCGGCGGAAUCGUCGUCGGAACAACUCGACCAGCAUCAACUCCACCACCACCUGCAGCACCAUGUGGUGGUUGGCGUCGGCGGUGACGGAAGGAGUGAUUGCGGCGGCGGCGAGUUCGACACGUCCGCCGAGGAAGACAGGGCGGCGGCGGACACCAUCGACGAGCUGAACAACCGUCGCGGUGACGUCGCGACGUCGCCGGUCGUGGACGCUGCGGAGGAGGUGGCGAGCGAUGAGUCGCCGCCGGCGGCCACAACGACCGCGGCGCGGUUGUCGUCCUCAUCACAGCGUUGCGACGGCUCGGCGACCGAUGUGGUGAGCGCGGCGGCGGAUGAAGAAAAUGGCGGCGGGAGCGCGGGCACGCCCAGCAUCGGCUACGGGUCGCCGGCGGUAGAUGGUGCGCCGGUCGGUAGGACGUCGUUCGGGUCGGAGGAGGAGGAGCCCGCCGCCGUCGACCGUUUACAGCAACAACCGGUUCACGGGACGGCAGACGAACGGCCGACCGGCAACGUGUACGUACGCCGCGAUGAUAUGAACUAUCAUCAUCAACACCAUCACCAGCACCAGCAGCACGACAGUCCGCCGCAGCUACACGUAAGCACCAGUGCGACGACUACGACAACGCCAACGACCGGUGUCAACAACAACAGUAACAGUAACAGUAGCGGUCCGUCGCCAAACAGCCGUUACGACAAUAUGUUGGUUGCACAGACUUAUCAACAGGCCAAGUACGGCAGUGGCCGGGACUUGAUGGCCGCUAUGUUCCCGCAAGUAUUGAUCGCGGGUCAGCAACAGAUACAUCAGCACUUGCAACAGCGUGACGAAGACGAAGAUUUUUACGAGUACCAGCAACAGGCGUACCAGCAGCAGCAGCAACAGCAACAUGCCAAGUUCGAACACAUCGUGCUCAAACAGGAGCCGCUGGACCGAGUCCAGCAAGUGUACACCGACGAGUACUUCCACCAGGACCACCAGCAGCAAUUGUCCGUGCAGCUCCAGCAGCAACAGGAGCAACACUGCUCCAGUCCCGGCAGCUCGGCGGGCGGUUACGACGAGGAAGUGGUGGUGGCCGCUGCCGCUAAAGGCGAACUGCUUGACCUGCACUUGGCCCGGUCCGACGGCAGCACGGGACCCGGACAGCAAGAGAAUCCCUUCGCGCAUCUCGUGGCCUCGCUGCACAGUGACUCGGGUAGCGCUUCACCGUUGCAGGGCCAUUUGCACGACGACCAACAACAGGGUUGCGGUUCACCUACCAUCGUGUGCCAGCCGCACGUGGCCGACCACUCCUAUACGCCGUCGUCCGCGACCGGCGAACAGCAAAUUCCGCAACACUUAUCGUCGCAAAACCAUCACGGCGUCUACCACAGCAGUUCCAACGUCAUACACCAUAACAGUUCCAACAUCUCUGGCUCGACCAUGUACCAGAGGAGUAACGGCGGUGGCCUACAGUAUUCGACUUCCAUGCCACAUUACUUCACUUCCUCGCCUGAGCUCAACCAACAGCAGACCAACAACAUCAUCACAUCCGUGGCUGGCAAUCAAAUGUGGUCUACAGUAGUGUCUGAAGAUGGUACUGGAGGAUAUUCUCCGACUUCGACAAGCAAACAGCAGCAGUCUAACCACAACGGCGGUGGCCUGCCAGCUUUCACUCAGCGUUUCGGCUCGUCGUCAACGUCCGCGUACACGGCCGCCGGUUCGUCCCGGUCAGCCCCUUCGUCGUAUCACCCGAUCGCCACGUCCGGCGUGACCCCUUAUCACCUGACCACCACGGCCGUCAACAACGGUGGCCCAGCAGACACCUCGUCGCUCCAGUGGGCGGCCGCCGCAGUGGCCGGAUCGCACGGUUACUCGAACACCGACGGCACCAUAAACUACGCUCCGAUGCCAAUCAACCAGUCGGGCAGGAGCCGAUCAAACGCAUUCUCGGCCGCCGCUUCACUGUCAGCUCUCGACGAGAUGGAAAUAUUUUGCGAGGGUCGCGAGUGCGUGAAUUGCGGAGCGGUUUCCACACCCUUGUGGAGGCGUGACGGCACCGGUCAUUACUUGUGCAACGCGUGUGGACUUUACAACAAGAUGAACGGCAUAAACAGGCCUUUAGUAAAACAACCCAAACGGCUGUGGCUUCCGGCCCAAGCUCGUCCGGUUCUGGAGAUUUCUAUAAGGGUCCUCUAUAUCAUCAUGUACCUGCCAGUUUUGCAAGGUCAUCCGGAGCCGGCGGAUUAGAAGAGAAAACCACAAGAAGAAUGCAAAAUGCAUCUAGGCGUCAAGGAUUGCAGUGCACAAACUGUCAAACAGCCACCACGUCGUUGUGGCGCAGAAAUCAAGUGGGUGAACCUGUGUGUAACGCAUGCGGUCUGUACUUUAAGUUACACGGUGUUAAGAGACCACUUACAAUGAAAAAGGAUUCUAUCCAGACACGGAAGCGCAAGCCCAAAGGUGGAUCCAAAAUAGAACCGGAACCUAAGAGAAUCAAACAAGAAAUACCAUCUGAACAUAACUAUAGUGACUGUCACCGCACAUCUGGUAGUGUUUUGAAUCAUGGCAGUGCUAGUUCGGGUCUUGCGUAUACCAACUUGUAUCAAACAGCCACACAUAUGACACCUGCAUACUAUGACGUCCUUAAGUCAGAGUCAUCGCAAGAAUCUAUCAACAGUCCACAUAUAGUAAGCCUUGCAUCUGCCAACAACAACAAUAAUAACAACAACAACAACAAUAAUAACAUAAACACUGGCAACAAAGAUAGGCCUAGUGUUCUAACCAUGUCAGUUAAUUCCUAAAAUUUAAUAUAUUUUUCCUUGACUAUUCUUUAGUGUUAUCAACCUUGUUUGGUGAUUUCAAUUUUAUUAUAAUAACUAUUUAUCGUUAACGAACAAAUGAAAAAAUUAUUAUGUUUUAUUUAUAUUAUUAUUAUUAUUUACAUUAUUUAACGAAAUACAAUAUUUUAUAAUUUAUAGUACAUACAUUACUGAUUGAAAUGUAGGCAAUUUUCAAAGACAUUAUUUUAGGAGAUAUUAUUUUCAAAAAGCAAAGACUGCAUAUUAUAUAUUUAUAUUAUGUUCAAGAAACAAAAUUUAUGAAAAUUAAAUUUGUAAUAAGCUCAUAUAAGUAAUUUUGUUUAAUCACAAGUACAAUAUUUUAUUUUAUUUUUGUUCUAGUUGAAUCUCUUUAUAUAAAACACUGAUUUGUUAAGUAGCAUUUACUGUAUUGUACAUUCUUGUAAGUCCUUAAUUUAUUGUACAUAAUAUAUCAUGUACUUAAUUUGUUAAUAUUAAUAUCAGUUGCUUGAAACAUAUUAUUUUUGUUUUUAAGUCAUCGUUUAUGAUCAAUUAGAGAUUGUGAUUAGAAAAAUUGUUGAAAUAUUUUGAUUAGUUAAUAGUUUAAUCGAAAAAAAAUAUUUACUGAAUCCGAAAAUUAUAGCAUGUUAAUUUCGAAAUAUUUGUAAUCAUUAUUAUUAUAAUAGAUAUAUUUGUUGUUGUAAAAUUGUAAUUAUUUAGUCAUAGUUCCGAGCAACGUAAAUACUAAUUUAAACAUGUGUGAUCAAUCAAUUUAUUUUUACACCAAAAAAUGUUUAGAACUAUGUAAAAUUAAUUAAAUAAAAAUUGCUGGUUAAUUAAAACAAAUUAUAGUAUUUAAAUUGUAGGCAUUUUAAGUCAUUUUAUCACCUUAAUUUAUAAGUAGGUAAAUAUUUUGUCGACAUUUAUUUUGAGUGAUAAAACAUUUACAUAAUAUUGUAAGUAAAUAAAUCUUAAUAUGUAAUUAA
This is an RNA transcript of Acyrthosiphon pisum (pea aphid), 4966 nucleotides long. It is a transcript of the gene named box A-binding factor, with no coding region annotated. The record is from RefSeq and is a predicted model, not a curated record. NCBI's taxonomy places the organism in Eukaryota, Metazoa, Arthropoda, Insecta, Hemiptera, Aphididae. The transcript is spliced from 9 exons.